Molecule: long non-coding RNA, 834 nt
Organism: Gallus gallus (chicken)
Lineage: Eukaryota; Metazoa; Chordata; Aves; Galliformes; Phasianidae
Source: Ensembl
CUCCGUCUGCCCGCUUUUUUCCCUCCUCCCCACGCUGUGGGAGCCGCCGGAGCCUUUCUCCUUCAAAGUGCUCCCGAACAGCGCUACGGAAGUGUGAUGCUGUUGAUAGAGAUCUGCUGCUUACCACCGGCUUUGUACCUUGAGUGUCCUCAGAUUGUCUCAUUUUGGCCAUAAGAGACAUCUGCGCUGCACCGCCCUCCCCUGUCAGGGCAAGUCUCGCUGUGUCUCUGACGCCCAUGAAGUCCCAGGGCUGCGCUCAUCCUGACGCGUUACAUCACAGCCAGCAGGGAAGCGCUCAGCAUCGCUCCUCCCUCCUUGCACAGAACCUCAGUGCGGUGGUCUGCGGAGAGCGCUGACGGAGGGCUUUCUGUGCCGGCGCUGGAAGGUGUAGCAAGCGGAAAGGAGCGCACUAAGAGGAGCUCACGGGAAAACCCACGAGCCUUGCACUUUGUCAUUUACACGCGGUCCUGUUAUGCAACCGGCUGGUGACGCGGGUGGAGCUCUGGGUUUGGGAGGUGGUAGCAGGGAAAGCCCGGUCCCACGGCUGCCCCGCUCCCUUCACCGUUACAGGGACAGCGUUCCACGGGGCUGAGGUGGGCGCUAAGCGCCAUUUCCCUCGUCUGAAAUACCUUCGUGCAGAACGAAAUAGCCCGGAGGUGGACGGGGCACGGACAGCACAAAGCAGAGCAGCGAAGCCGUGGGGUGGUGGGAUAAGGGCAGCUCCCAGCACAGCCCCAGCCUCGGCUCUCCAUGAGCACUGCUGCUGUGCCAAUGGUUUUGACUUGACUUCGGCGUUAGCUCAGAUGUAUCCCAGCGAGGCUUCUCCCUCCCAAA